This 253-nucleotide ribosomal RNA is filed under the name uncultured bacterium. RNAcentral's name for it is "partial 16S ribosomal RNA". It matches the Rfam family "Bacterial small subunit ribosomal RNA", at positions 524 to 776 of the family's 1533-position model. The record is from RNAcentral.
UACAGAGGGUGCAAGCGUUGUUCGGAAUUACUGGGCGUAAAGCGCGUGUAGGCGGUCAUGUAAGUCGGUUGUGAAAGCCCUCAGCUUAACUGAGGAAGUGCAACCGAUACUGUGUGACUAGAGUACUGGAGGGGAUGGCGGAAUUCCUGGUGUAGAGGUGAAAUUCGUAGAUAUCAGGAGGAACACCUGUGGCGAAGGCGGCCAUCUGGACAGUAACUGACGCUGAGACGCGAAAGCGUGGGUAGCAAACAGG